Long non-coding RNA from Neopsephotus bourkii (Bourke's parrot), 474 nucleotides. RefSeq lists it as uncharacterized. The transcript is spliced from 3 exons. NCBI's taxonomy places the organism in Eukaryota, Metazoa, Chordata, Aves, Psittaciformes, Psittacidae. The record is from RefSeq and is a predicted model, not a curated record.
GCAGUUCUAUCUGGACAAAGAAAAUGUCUUCUGCUCGUGGCUGAGCUGUUGGCAGAGCUUGAAGGGAUGAAGGGCUGUUGCCAUUGCCUUCAGGGACAUUCUGCCAUGUAGAAAGGCUGGAGGAAUAAUUCUCUGAUGAAUGAAGAUCUGGUGGGUGGACUAAGGACAGCAAGUCAUUUUAGACUAGGCUUCCUUUUUAUCAAAGUCCAAGAGGCCUGCCAAAUUAACAAAAUGAUGCUCUUUACCAUCUAGAGUGGCCAGCAGCCUUUGUAAAUAAAGCUAUAUCGUGGAGCUUCACAAGUCCACCAUUACCAGGGUUGGUAGGCAAGAGUACCAGUUGACUUUUGAUGGCCCUGAACAAGCAACAUGCAACUGUUGGCCAAAUAACUUGCUGCUGCAGCUUAUAGAAAGCCUUGUAUUAAAGUCUUUCUAUUAUUAUUUUACUAUUUUUAAAAGAAUAAUGCCUUUCCAAAC